AAUGACCCAUCUCGGACAAAUUACCGCUCGAGUGGCAUUGUGUGCAAGUCCCCGAGCGAUGCGUCUCGUCUCUCCUCUACUCUCCACCACUCGUCGAUCCAUUGACGCGCAUUGUGUCCGAUUUUAAGACCGGUACACGUCCGACUGUACACGUUCCCACGUGUCGUGAAAUCGUGGACACCGGGUCUAAUGUCUCGCCGGCGACUCCACGGUGCACGAGUAAUUGAUAAUGAACACGCGGCGCGAUCAUUUAGCGCGACGUUACGGUGCGCGAUAGUUUUUGCCGGGAAUACGGGUGAAUAAACUUCGGACGCGUUACGUGCGCGUUCAAGUAAACUUUUCUCGUGUGUGUAAGCGCUGGCGAUUGGCCGAAGAAGUGUGAAGAACGAGUGUUUAGGGAAAGAUCGAGUGGUUGUUUGGACGAGGAUAUCGGUUCUGGGAGGCGCGACUGGAUUCUCAGAACGUUCUUAACGAUUUCUGAUCGAAUGGAACACGUGGAACAAGAGCAUUGACAUACGUGGGAAUAAAUUCCUGUUUCAGAGGCCGGGAAUCGCGGCCGGGCACGGCAGUGGGGAGGUUUGAGGGAAACGACGGUGGAAAGAAACGAGGAGGAUGAGGCUCCGAGACGCAACCUGUCCCAUGCAUCUUGUGGGCAGGGGCGCUUCCGUCAGCAUCUACGGAUUCAUUAGAGAACAAUAGGAUGAUGAGUGCAGUCCGUGAGUUGUAACAGACCUCGAGGUUGCAUGCGGGGAUAAAGAAAGAGGAGAAUGAAAGAAGAGGAAGACUGAGAAAGGCGCGUAUGGUUCGAUCGUCUGGUACGAGCGGACGAGUUCUCUUCGAGACGACAUUGAAGGAUUCGAGACACGAGGUCGACGUUUACUCGCGCGGCUCUCGGUUACGAUGUUCCCUUCAACGGGACGUCCUUCGACGCCGAAAAUUCCGUUCCACUUGUCUCCGAUAGCAGUCGCAUUUAUAUUUGCUGCGGUUCAGACCGUACGAUCGUGCCACGCGGUAUGCACCAGCCGGCCGAGCUGCAACAACUUUCGCCCUUGGGCGACUCGCGUUGCUCUUAUUUAAACAACAUACCUAACUCGCUCGCCUCUCUUACUCGCGACUCCCCCGCCUCCCACCACGCCGACCAGGAGUACCUGGCAUCCUUCUUCAGGAGCGUACCAAUCCUUCUGGCAAUACCUCUGAUGAUGAACACCUUUCCCCUUACCUCUUUAACAAUAACUCAAAAAUUAUAUAAAUAUAUUGUGAAUUUUUCUUUAUAUGAAAGGAUGUACUUAAUCUAUAUUUUAAUUAUUUAAGAAUUA
Osmia lignaria (orchard mason bee) is the source of this 1316-nucleotide long non-coding RNA. RefSeq lists it as uncharacterized. The record is from RefSeq and is a predicted model, not a curated record. Lineage: Eukaryota; Metazoa; Arthropoda; Insecta; Hymenoptera; Megachilidae.